UAAGUCUGAACCAGCCAAGUAGCGUGCAGGAUUGACGGCCCUAUGGGUUGUAAACUGCUUUUGUUGGGGAGUAAAGUGAGGCACGCGUGCCUUUUUGCAUUUACCCUUCGAAUAAGGACCGGCUAAUUCCGUGCCAGCAGCCGCGGUAAUACGGAAGGUCCAGGCGUUAUCCGGAUUUAUUGGGUUUAAAGGGAGUGUAGGCGGUCUGUUAAGCGUGUUGUGAAAUUUAGGUGCUCAACAUCUAACUUGCAGCGCGAACUGGCGGACUUGGGUGCACGCAACGUAUGCGGAAUUCAUGGUGUAGCGGUGAAAUGCUUAGAUAUCAUGACGAACUCCGAUUGCGAAGGCAGCGUACGGGAGUGUUACUGACGCUUAAGCUCGAAGGUGCGGGUAUCGAACAGGAUUAGAUACCCUGGUAGUCCGCACGGUAAACGAUGGAUGCCCGCUGUUAGCGCCUGGCGUUAGCGGCUAAGCGAAAGCAUUAAGCAUCCCACCUGGGGAGUACGCCGGCAACGGUGAAACUCAAAGGAAUUGACGGGGGCCCGCACAAGCGGAGGAACAUGUGGUUUAAUUCGAUGAUACGCGAGGAACCU
RNAcentral lists this ribosomal RNA (593 nucleotides) under Prevotella intermedia. RNAcentral describes it as "bacterial SSU rRNA". It matches the Rfam family "Bacterial small subunit ribosomal RNA", at positions 378 to 971 of the family's 1533-position model. Lineage: Bacteria; Pseudomonadati; Bacteroidota; Bacteroidia; Bacteroidales; Prevotellaceae. The record is from RNAcentral.